Long non-coding RNA from Calidris pugnax (ruff), 1479 nucleotides. RefSeq lists it as uncharacterized. The transcript is spliced from 2 exons. Lineage: Eukaryota; Metazoa; Chordata; Aves; Charadriiformes; Scolopacidae. The record is from RefSeq and is a predicted model, not a curated record.
CCUGCGCAACGCGGGCCGCGGCCCGGCGGAGGCCGGCGCCCUCGGGUGGCGGGUCCCCCCCCUUCCCCGGGGCCGAGGGAAGGGAGCAGCUGGAAGACUUACUCCUCACCCACAGCGGAGAGCUGGGAAGCAGCUCCUCAGGCUGGAUGUCUGGGGUUCAGUGCCAAGGAACCAACCUGGAGACAAAAGAUCUUGGGUGUCACAGGCCUCUCGUUUACAGCCUUUCAGUUUUACCAUCGGUGAUGCUCUUUAAGAUUUUGACAAAGUAUAUAGCAUGACAUAGAUGCUCCUAGAUCAUCUUUAUACAACCCUUUACCGGUAUUUUAAAUUACACUCUCUGUUUUCCUUCAGUUUGCUGUGCUUUUCUGCAGAUUGCGUGUCUUAACUGAGGUUGGGACGUGAAAUUUAGUAGGAUACUGAUUAUUUUCAAGAGUGACACCGCUCUGUGAGGUUCUCGUGGCCAGCGGGUCUGGAUGAACUGCCAGCAUUGCUCUCCUUGGACUGGAGUCCCAGGACUGAAAGUUGUAAAGGGUUUAAACUCAACUGCUCUGAAGUGGAAAUAUGGUCAGGAAGUAUCUGAUCCCUUAGAAUAUAAAUGUUAAAGUAACCGGAGAUGAUAGGAAAACAAAAUUCUUCGUAGAUCAGGAGGGGUUUUUUUUUAAAUAUAUAAACAUUAGGCACAAUGCAGUAUUGCAUACGGCCCGAGAUGGCUUUCCUUCCUGGAGGUUCUUCCAGUCCAAUAACAUCCAGAACACUGAUUUCCACUAUCCCAGCCAUUUUUCAGUUGGGUGCCAAUUGCUUGGACAUCCCGGUCCCUCUCGCACCUGCCGUAAUUGCGGCAUUCUCGGCAACUGUCACUUGUGAGUGUCACCUCAGGCAGGACAGAAUGAAAAGGCUGGGAGUUUUGUGGUCUUAUAGAGGUGAAUGUGAAAACCAGACCAGUCUGCUGGCCUCUAAAGCUGUUCAGAGCCACGAUCCUGUUGAAAGUGGUGGAUUAUUGUCAAUUUUUCCAUAUUGUACCUAAAAAUGUUAUAUUCAAUCACUCAUAUUGCUCCUGAAGAAAUCCCCAGCCUGAGCCGGGGCCACAAUCCCGGCGCCAGGUCCCUAUUUCAAUUUCUUCUCUCCUACUCUUCCCUCCAGGAAAUUUUCCACGCCCGGAAUUCCCUAAAACCCGACUCCCGCACCACGAGGCCGCCCCGGAGGCCCAGAGCGUUGCCUGGUGGGUCCUACUGGCCAAAAAAAAUAACCAGGUUUUGAGGUUUUACCUUUUGGGGGGGUUAUUGAUAAUUUGGGAUGGGCGGGCGGGAGCGCUCGGCUCCACAUCCGAGUGCAUUAUUUCAAUUAGCCCCAGCGCUCUUUAUUGCGAGGGGGAAUCAUUCACUCCCCGGGGAUGAAAAAAAAAAAAAAAAAAGAAAAGAAAAAAAAAAGCUUUUAUAUUGAAUGCUUUCUAAAUACUGGCAUUGGUCACGUCGCCUGGAA